This 190-nucleotide small nuclear RNA is filed under the name Chrysolophus pictus (golden pheasant). RNAcentral describes it as "U2 spliceosomal RNA (ENSCPIG00010006793.1)". The stretch from base 1 to 104 matches the Rfam family "U2 spliceosomal RNA". From Rfam's summary of the family: U2 is a small nuclear RNA (snRNA) component of the spliceosome (involved in pre-mRNA splicing). Complementary binding between U2 snRNA (in an area lying towards the 5' end but 3' to hairpin I) and the branchpoint sequence (BPS) of the intron results the bulging out of an unpaired adenosine, on the BPS, which initiates a nucleophilic attack at the intronic 5' splice site, thus starting the first of two transesterification reactions that mediate splicing. The record is from Rfam by way of RNAcentral. Lineage: Eukaryota; Metazoa; Chordata; Aves; Galliformes; Phasianidae.
GUUACUUUCAGGCCUUUUGGCUGAAAUUGAGUAUAUUAUCUGUUCUUCUCAGUUUAAUAUCUGAUACAUUCUCAAUGAAAAGAUUUUAUAUUAUAUUAUCUCUGUUGUGAUUUUGCACUGGUACAUAAAUCAGCUUUGUCAUGACACUUUCUCAUUCUUCUCCCUGAACAGAAUAAAGGGAGAAAGUAGG